RNAcentral lists this small RNA (28 nucleotides) under Bombyx mori (domestic silkworm). Its description in RNAcentral is "ovarian small RNA-20142". The record is from RNAcentral. Lineage: Eukaryota; Metazoa; Arthropoda; Insecta; Lepidoptera; Bombycidae.
UACAAUCUACCGCAACGUAUGAAUGUGG